This is a long non-coding RNA of Bos taurus (domestic cattle), 1243 nucleotides long. The record is from Ensembl. NCBI's taxonomy places the organism in Eukaryota, Metazoa, Chordata, Mammalia, Artiodactyla, Bovidae.
AGAUGGUUGGAUGGCAUCACUGACCCAAUGGACCUGAGUCUGAGGAAGCUCUGGGAGAUGGUGUGGCGUGCUGCAGUCCAUAGGGUUGCAAAGAGUCGGAGAUGAUUUAGCAACCGAGAGGCAGCCAUAGUUAACGCUAAGUUUUAAGGCACAGUAAUAGUAGGUGUUUGCAUUGAUGUGAAUAGAAAUCGUGUCCCUGAUCCUUAUCCAGUGAAGAUUACUGAGGUUUUCCCCAGGAAUAGAGCCACAAAACCAUGCUAUUCAUCUAGAUUCAGUGGACUACUCCUGCAAGACUCACCGGUCUUCUUCCUCGAAAGCAACACUUACUGAAAAGUUGAGGACAGACAACAGAUUCCUGACUCCCUUCAGAUGGCUUACUUCUGUCUCAGAGCAGUGGCUUGACGUUUGUGACGUCAACCCCUCCAACCUGAACUCGUAAGGGGAAAAACAGGCAAAUGGAGAGACAGAGAGUUUCUAGGAGAGUAAGUCUGAUUUAUUUUACAAAGAAAACAAACCAGAUUUUUACUAACCGAAACAAAUAUGGCUCCUUAAAACUCAAUGGGAAAAGCAUUACGUGAGCUGUUAAAUUACUUGAUUGGAAAAUCCAAUUUCUCAGGUAGAAAACAUAAUUCAACAAGUCAUUUUACUAAAGGUUAAAGAAAAGCAUGCUGAGGAAUCCGUCUGCCUUCCACUUUGUCUAGGGCUCUGUAGCCACAUUCCCAACACUCUCCAUCUUGUCCCUCCACCCACACUGGCCCUGAUCUCAUGGGGAGACAGAAGGCAGCCAUGGCCAUGGGUCCAAUCAUGGGAGAUGCCACUCACGCCCUGAAACCCAAGGACACGGAAAUGAUUGUGUGUGCGUGGGUAUGCUCGUCACUCAGUUGUGUCCAACUCUUUGUGACUUGAUGGACUACAGCCCGCCAGCCCUCCUCUGUCCAUGGGAUUUCCCAGGCAAUACUGGAGUGGGUAGCCAUUCUCUUCCCCAGGAGAUCUUCUUGACCCAAGGAUUGAACCUAAGUCUCCUGCACUGCAGGCAGGUUCUUCUACCAGCUGAGCCACAGAGGAAGCCCAAGAAUCCUGGAGUGGGUAGCCUAUCCCUUCUCCAGUGGAUCUUCCUGACCCAGGAAUCAAUCCAGGGUCUCCUGCACUGAAGGCGGAUUCUUUACCAACUGAGCUAUCAGGAAGGCCUAAACACAAGUUUAUUCCAGACAAUUUUCUAGCCCAGUUGGGAUUUCUUCAGAGG